RNAcentral lists this small RNA (104 nucleotides) under uncultured Prevotella sp. RNAcentral describes it as "RT-5 RNA". It matches the Rfam family "RT-5 RNA". Rfam says of the family: Clostridium (Firmicutes). The record is from RNAcentral. Lineage: Bacteria; Pseudomonadati; Bacteroidota; Bacteroidia; Bacteroidales; Prevotellaceae.
UGCGCCUGCUAAAGGAGGCAGCCUUACCCACCAACUAUCGUUUUGCAGGCAACAGGGCAAGGUAUCCUCUCGUGAUCCGCAAUUUUGCGGAUUCAAAAUCAUUC